Molecule: long non-coding RNA, 294 nt
Filed under: Hordeum vulgare
Lineage: Eukaryota; Viridiplantae; Streptophyta; Magnoliopsida; Poales; Poaceae
Description: long non-coding RNA (HVUL_LNC018159)
Source: RNAcentral
UCUUAAAGAGAGAGGCUUGAUCUUCUUGUUGUGGUAGUAUCUCAGCUUCUGUUGAUAGAUGGUCAUCCGGCUCAAGGCCAAGUCCCUUGCCUCCUCGAGGAGAUCAACGUUGUCUUCUCUUGCCUCCUUUGCCUCCGUUUUCGUGUAAAGGUGACCCAAGGCGAGUCGAACUCGAUAUGUGUAGGGAUGAUGGCCUCGGACCCGUAUACAAGAAAGAACGGAGUGAAGCUGAUUGACCGGCUGGGCGUGGUGCGGAGACUCCAUAGUACAGCCGGCAGUUCUUCGAUCCAGCAG